UCCUACGGGGGGCAGCAGUGGGGAAUAUUGCACAAUGGGGGAGACCCUGAUGCAGCAACGCCGCGUGAAGGAAGACGGUUUUCGGAUUGUAAACUUCUGUUCUUAGUGAAGAAAAAUGACGGUAGCUAAGGAGCAAGCCACGGCUAACUACGUGCCAGCAGCCGCGGUAAUACGUAGGGAGCGAGCGUUGUCCGGAAUUACUGGGUGUAAAGGGAGCGUAGGCGGGCGAGAAAGUUGAAUGUUAAAUCUGCCGGCUUAACUGGUAGCUGCGUUCAAAACUUCUUGUCUUGAGUGAAGUAGAGGCA
This 305-nucleotide ribosomal RNA is filed under the name uncultured bacterium. Its description in RNAcentral is "bacterial SSU rRNA". It matches the Rfam family "Bacterial small subunit ribosomal RNA", at positions 337 to 659 of the family's 1533-position model. The record is from RNAcentral.